Molecule: ribosomal RNA, 439 nt
Filed under: uncultured bacterium
Lineage: Bacteria
Description: bacterial SSU rRNA
Rfam family: Bacterial small subunit ribosomal RNA
Source: RNAcentral
UUACGGGAGGCAGCAGUGAGGAAUUUUCCGCAAUGGACGCAAGUCUGACGGAGCAACGCCGCGUGCAGGAGGACGCUUUUCGGAGUGUAAACUGCUUUUCUGUGGGACGAGCGAGGACGGUACCACAGGAAGAAGCCCCGGCUAACUACGUGCCAGCAGCCGCGGUAAUACGUAGGGGGCGAGCGUUGUCCGGAGUUACUGGGCGUAAAGGGCAUGCAGGCGGUCUGGCGCGUUUUGUGUGACAGCGGGUGGCUCAACUACCCGAGCAUGCGAAAGACGGUUGGACUUGAGGGCUCGAGAGGGACACGGAAUUCCGGGUGGAGUGGUGAAAUGCGUAGAGAUCCGGAGGAACACCGAAGGCGAAGGCAGUGUCCUGGCGAGCGACUGACGCUGAGGUGCGAAAGCCAGGGGAGCGAACGGGAUUAGAUACCCCGGUAGU